AAGUCACUGAGGCGAUCUUAGGUCUAAGGGAUACUUAUACCUAUAUCCCAUCAGAGACAUUCUCGAUAGCAGAAUACUCUGGAGUUGGUCAUGUUCACUGAUGAUGUACCCUUACAUCUUAUCUGUAUGUCAUACCAGUGUCUCCACACUCUUUGGUUAAAAGGAGAACCAACCUAUAUGGCUUACAGCAACCUAUGCUCGAUAGAAUCUGUCGUCUUUAUUAACAGCCCAUC
Molecule: long non-coding RNA, 233 nt
Filed under: Elaeis guineensis (African oil palm)
Lineage: Eukaryota; Viridiplantae; Streptophyta; Magnoliopsida; Arecales; Arecaceae
Description: long non-coding RNA (EGUI_LNC039810)
Source: RNAcentral